RNAcentral lists this long non-coding RNA (384 nucleotides) under Homo sapiens (human). RNAcentral's name for it is "HSALNT0395922". The record is from RNAcentral. Lineage: Eukaryota; Metazoa; Chordata; Mammalia; Primates; Hominidae.
ACACCUGUCUUAGUUCAGUUUGUGUUGCUAUAAAGGAAUAACUGGGGCUGGGUGCAGUGGCUCACGCCUGUAAUCCCAGCACUUUGGGAGGCCAAGGUGGGUAGAUCACUUGAGGUCAGGAGUUUGAAAACAGCCUGGCCAACAUGGUGAAACCCCGUCUCUACUAAAAAUACAAAAGUUAGCCGGGUGUGGUGGCUCAUGCCUGUAAUCCCAGCAGUUUGGGAGGCCAAGGCGGGUGGAUUGCUUGAGUCCUGGAGUUAGAGACCAGCCUGGGCCACAUGGCCAAAUCCCAUCUGUACAAAAAAUACAAAAAUUAGGCUGGCCGUGGUGGCUCAAGCCUGUAAUCCCAGCACUUUGGGAAGCCGAGGAGGGUGGAUCACAGGA